AGAACGAACGCUGGCGGCGUGGAUAAGACAUGCAAGUCGAACGCGAUUUAUCAGGUUAGCAAUAACUUGGUAAAUUGAGUGGCGAAAGGGUGCGUAACACGUGGGAAUUUACCGAGAAGUGGGGAAUAGCUCGACGAAAGUCGAAUUAAUACCGCAUGUGAUCGAAAGAUCAAAGCCGGGGACCGCAAGGCCUGGCGCUUCUUGAGAAGCCCGCGGCCCAUCAGCUAGUUGGCGGGUAAAAGCCCACCAAGGCUAUGACGGGUAGCUGGUCUGAGAGGACGACCAGCCACACUGGAACUGAGACACGGUCCAGACACCUACGGGUGGCAGCAGUCGAGAAUUUUUCACAAUGGAC
RNAcentral lists this ribosomal RNA (355 nucleotides) under uncultured bacterium. RNAcentral describes it as "SSU rRNA". It matches the Rfam family "Bacterial small subunit ribosomal RNA", at positions 26 to 376 of the family's 1533-position model. The record is from RNAcentral.